GCAAAUUACAUCAGACGAACAAUACAUCUUGGGCGGCACAUUAUUCUGGACGGCAACAUCAAAUUAGACGAGAACAAAAGGUGCCAUCAAGAGAGAAGAAGGUGAUUGGUUCGAGGGUUCAAGUCGCGAUCAAGAUUCACGUCCGGAUUGCACUGUACCAGACCCUAGAACUUUCCCUUUACUAUUAUUUCCAAAGGAUAUAUCACCCCCUCCAUGGAUUUUAAAGUCUUUGAGGAGGGCUUUACAUCCUGUCAUGUGCCUGGAGCCUCCACUAUCUACAUACUAAAGACUAUCAAAGCAUGCAGAAGCUCCCUGCACAUGAAGUAAAAGGAUUAGUUCAUUAAGGGCUCCAAAGCCAACAGGGCUUUGGAUGGGGAUUCAACAGUGUCUGGUAUGGGUGCAGUGUGAUGGACAGUGGUUAGGUCAGGGGUUUGAACAGUUUUAGUACUGUGUCUUGCUAACCACUGUUGAGGGUCUUGACCAAUCACCUGCUGAUAGCCAAAAGGAUGCCUAUUCACUUUAGGUUUAGAGGGCCUUUUGUAGGCCUCAUAAACGUGUGGAAUCCUUUGAUGUUUGGUUCAGCUGUUUGUGACAGCUGUUUGAACUGGUACAAACAGUGGUUGUUUCUUGGUGAAUUUGACAGAUGAUGAUGCUGAUGGACUCAAGGGUACUCCUUUGCAGCAGAGGUUUUAACCACUGCUGGAAUGUCCUUGAGAGACUAUUGAUCAGCUGCUGCAACCUUCUACUGUUGUGAACCCAGCAGCACUUGUCCGGAUCAGCAGUGCUUGACUCAAAGCAGUAGAUUGAAUCAGCAGGGCUUUAGUCUUUCAUCAGGUCUUUACUUGAGCAGCAGUUGUAGGUCAGCAUUUAGCAAGAUCAGCAGAUAGAAGGUCAGCAGAUGUUGAAUUCACUUUCAAGGGGAGAGAUUUGUAUGUAAACAUCUGCUUAUUCAGGUUCCACUGCUCUGAUCCAGUUUUGGCUUUAAUUAUCUGUUCCUCUGAUAGGGUUCAAUCCCAAC
Molecule: long non-coding RNA, 1018 nt
Filed under: Helianthus annuus (common sunflower)
Lineage: Eukaryota; Viridiplantae; Streptophyta; Magnoliopsida; Asterales; Asteraceae
Source: RNAcentral